RNAcentral lists this ribosomal RNA (492 nucleotides) under uncultured bacterium. RNAcentral describes it as "partial 16S ribosomal RNA". It matches the Rfam family "Bacterial small subunit ribosomal RNA", at positions 29 to 507 of the family's 1533-position model. The record is from RNAcentral.
AGUGAACGCUGGCGGUAGGCCUAACACAUGCAAGUCGAACGGCAGCACAGUAAGAGCUUGCUCUUACGGGUGGCGAGUGGCGGACGGGUGAGGAAUACAUCGGAAUCUACUUUUUCGUGGGGGAUAACGUAGGGAAACUUACGCUAAUACCGCAUACGACCUACGGGUGAAAGCAGGGGAUCUUCGGACCUUGCGCGAUUGAAUGAGCCGAUGUCGGACUAGCUAGUUGGCGGGGUAAAGGCCCACCAAGGCGACGAUCCGUAGCUGGUCCGAGAGGAUGAUCAGCCACACUGGAACUGAGACACGGUCCAGACUCCUACGGGAGGCAGCAGUGGGGAAUAUUGGACAAUGGGCGCAAGCCUGAUCCAGGCAUACCGCGUGGGUGAAGAAGGCCUUCGGGUUGUAAAGCCCUUUUGUUGGGAAAGAAGAGCAGCAGGUUAAUACCCCGCUGUUCUGACGGUACCCAAAGAAUAAGCACCGGCUAACUUCGUG